Molecule: ribosomal RNA, 253 nt
Filed under: uncultured bacterium
Lineage: Bacteria
Description: partial 16S ribosomal RNA
Rfam family: Bacterial small subunit ribosomal RNA
Source: RNAcentral
GACGUAGGGCGCGAGCGUUGUCCGGAUUUAUUGGGCGUAAAGAGCUCGUAGGCGGCUUGUCGCGUCGACUGUGAAAACCCGCGGCUCAACUGCGGGCCUGCAGCCGAUACGGGCAGGCUAGAGUUCGGUAGGGGAGACUGGAAUUCCUGGUGUAGCGGUGAAAUGCGUAGAUAUCAGGAGGAACACCAGUGGCGAAGGCGGCUCACUGGCCCGAUACUGACGCUGAGGCACGAAAGCAUGGGGAGCAAACAGG